Molecule: RNA transcript, 2748 nt
Organism: Triticum aestivum (bread wheat)
Lineage: Eukaryota; Viridiplantae; Streptophyta; Magnoliopsida; Poales; Poaceae
Gene name: protein trichome birefringence-like 28
Exons: 4
Source: RefSeq, a predicted model, not a curated record
ACAUGUCAUGUGAGACCCACCGCCCCCCGUCCCAUUCGUCCUCCCCCAAUUCCACCACACAACGGUCCUCCGCUCGCUCUGCCCGUACCGUACUGUUCACAAGGGGGGCGCCCGCCGCCGGCGCUGACCGGAGCGAUCCGCCUCCCCGACUACCGGCCGCGGCGAGGAGAUCCCGGCUGAUCUCCGGUUCCCAGACGCACCUGUCCGGCGCGCCAGCGGGAGGAGGAGGCGUCGGUCGAUCUCUGCGGGGUAAAGACGCGAGCUUGAGCCUGCCUGACUUCUUGCUGGCGGCGGGGGCGAAGGGGAGGGCGGGGGCGGCAGCGGCGGCGAUGCUGCGCCGGAAGUCGCCGUUCGCGGCGGCGCCGGCGGCCGCCAAGCAGGGGGAGGGGGAGGAGGCGCCCGCGCGCAGGCCCGGCGCGCCGCUCUCGCUCGCGGGCGUCCUCGUCUCCAUCUUCCUCGUCGCCAUCUUCCUCUACAACGAGGACUCUGCCGUCGUCAAGGCCCCAAUCGCCGCCGACGCCGGCGCCGGGGACUUCCCGCUCGCCGGGGCCUCGCGCGCCAGGUCCGCCCCCGACCUCCACCUCCUCCACGAGGUCAACUCCCGCCCCCAGCAGCAGCAGCAAGAGGGGAGCGACGAGGAGGAGCGGCGUCGCCAUGUGGAGCAGGUGGAGAGCGGGAGGAAAGCGAGCGACAGCGACAGCAACAGGGUGGAUGCGCCCGCGAGAGCAGACAAGCGCGCCGCCCCGGCCAUGACGGCGACCACCACGCCUCCUCCCAGUCCCAGCAGCGGCGGCAACACCACCAGCAGCAGCAGCAGAGCAGCGGUGGCGGCGCCGGAGCCGCCGGCGUGCAACCUGUACCAGGGGUGGUGGACGUACGACGCGGAGGCGUCGCAGGUGCCGCUGUACCGGGAGCCGGAGUGCGAGUUCCUGACGGAGCAGGUGACCUGCAUGCGCAACGGCCGGCGCGACGACUCGUACCAGCGGUGGCGCUGGCAGCCCUCCUCCUGCGACCUCCCAAGGUUCGACGCGCGGGCGCUGUUGGAGCGGCUGCGGAACAAGAGGCUGAUGUUCGUGGGGGACUCGCUGAACCGGAACCAGUGGGAGUCGAUGGUGUGCCUGGUGUCGUCGGCGAUCCCGUCGCGCGCCCAAAAGUCCCUGGUCAAGUUCGUCGGGCCCAACGGGUCGCUCAACGUGUUCAGGGCGGCGGAGUACAACGCGACGGUGGAGUUCUACUGGGCGCCGUUCCUGGUGAGCUCCAACUCGGACGACCCGCAGGCGCACAGCGUGGCGGACCGGGUGAUCGCGUGGCGGUCCAUCGCCAAGCACGCCCGGCACUGGCGCGCCGCCCACUUCCUCGUCUUCAACACCUACAUCUGGUGGCUCAACAACUUCGAGAUGAAAGUGCUGAAGAAUCCGAGGGCGAUGCCGGAGAAGUACACGCUGGUGGACCGGCCGGUGGCGUACAAGGAGGUGCUCAAGACGUGGGCCAAGUGGGUGGACCGGCACGUCGACCCCGGCCGGACCAAGGUCUUCUUCAUGGGCAUGUCGCCCAACCACGGCGUGUAAGUCACUCAAUCACUCACUCACUCACUCAUCAGCUCUCGAUCAGUACUACUAGCACUUCCAACUUGUUCAUUGCAAAUGGUGGAUUGCGUUCCCCAUUUUCCGGCGAUUUCUUCUGGGUUGGUAGCGGCGUCGGUCACGGGCGGGGCUGGGAUUCCAAAACAAACAGGCUUCUCGGGCAGUGCUAAUCCCCUUGGGGUACUAGACUAUUGUAUUGCCAAUUUGUUUAGUGAUGGCACAAAUCUUGGGCAGUGGUUUCUUGUGGAAGGGAUUUUGACCAUGGCCACGGGUGAAGGGUAAAUAAUCUUGAUCUCUGACUGAGCGAAUGGGUGGCACGUGCUUCACAUUAGGUUAGCUUCCAGCACCAACCACGGUGCCAGAGCCAGAAACUUCACAGGAGGGAGGGGAGGCAUAAAUCCGUAGAACCAGCACAAAAUCCAUCGGAGUGUAGCCGUGAUGGGCGCGCACAGAGCAGUGUGCAUCCGACUGCUUGUGAUCAAUGCGUGCGCGUACUGGCACUGGCAUAAGUAUAGUGAAAUUAAUGCCUGCAUGCAUGCAUCUCUCCAUGACAGUCCCCACUAACCUACUCCAAGAACGUUAGUACUACUGGUAGUAGUAAGGGAAGCCGUCCAAGCCCACUUUAGCAGCGACCCCUCCGUCGCUUUCUUUCCCCGUUGAUGGGUCCGUCAAGCGAGUAGCCACGUUCCAAACAAUGGGUCCGUCAAGGGAGUAGCCACGUUCGGAACAGCUGUGCAGCUUGAUCGCUGGAGAGAAGCAGAUCACGCCAUGUUGCCUGCAUAAACCAAGUUGAGCUUCAUGUGAUGUGCCGUACCGUUUUGGUCGAUUUUUGCUGGCUACUUCCGCUUUUAAUAAGAAAUAAUGAUUCCACACACACGCAAAUGGCAUCGACAAGCACGUGAACAACAUUAUUCCACCAAAAGCAAGCAAAGAAACAAACAAGCAUGUGCUUGGCAGCCCGUGUGUGUGUGAGGCAAAUCAUGGCGAUGGCAACCUAGCCUAACCUAACCUGCAUCAUGAGCGACAACACCUGGAUCUCGCCAUUGCCGGCGCCGGCGGCGGAAUCUCAGCUCCUCACCCACCUUGGACCUUGCAUUGCAUGCUCUGCUCUUCUACUAACACAGCUGUGGAGAUCUCUCUUGGUCUGAUGAAUUGUAACCUGAUG